Theobroma umbraticum is the source of this 575-nucleotide long non-coding RNA. RefSeq lists it as uncharacterized. Lineage: Eukaryota; Viridiplantae; Streptophyta; Magnoliopsida; Malvales; Malvaceae. The record is from RefSeq and is a predicted model, not a curated record.
GCCACAAAAAUCCGUAAGGUUACGUCCCCUCACUCUCUGCGCAAAUUUUCGCUUAACCGUAAUUUCGGUCCAUUUAGAAUUUCAAUUCCCUUCUCUAACGUUUUUUCUUCCCGUCGUUUCCGUUUCUCUCGAAAUCCUUCAUAACGAUUACAGCAGACUCCUCUUUACAGUAGAAACCCGAUCGCUUUAGGAAAUGAUCGAGAAUCGAAAUUGAAAAUGGACAUCUAUGAUCAGCUGAUUUGCAAGAUCAACGGGUUGUCGACUGGAUUGCUUCUCCAGCGGUUAACCAGAUACCCAGAACCUUGCUUACCGACUGCGCAAGUGGCUAGAUGGACUAGCCUUUUGCAAGUGGAACUGUGAUCAUGUGUAUGUUUCACUGCUAGAAUGCAGAACUUGCUUCCGGACUAAAGAAAGGAGUUGGCUAUAAUUCCUCACCAUCCAACUCUGGCUGCCCUGCUGUCAAUUUGAUCUUUUCGACUCUCACUUAACCCAUGCUUCCUUUCAUAUUGGCAAGUGGCAAGGAGGUUCAGGAAGCUAUCGUUGUGCAAAUGUAGUUUUCAUGGGUAAUUGUUAAU